RNAcentral lists this long non-coding RNA (1460 nucleotides) under Citrus maxima (pomelo). RNAcentral's name for it is "long non-coding RNA (CMAX_LNC002900)". Lineage: Eukaryota; Viridiplantae; Streptophyta; Magnoliopsida; Sapindales; Rutaceae. The record is from RNAcentral.
GUGGGAGAUUUUCUCUGUGUGUCUAGUAUUUAUGUAUUUGGAGUCCAUCAUAAUCAUAAAUCUAUAAUGUCUGGUUAAUCGGAUUGUAUGCCAUGUAGAUUAUAUAAUGUGGACAUGGUACCAUUAUUCGAUUGUGCUAGAAUUUGAAUUCCAUGUCCCCUUACCUAUCUAAGUUUGCAUAUGGAGGGUAUUGUGAAAGAAUUUCAUUUCUGCUGUGUGAAAGUACAUUGGUUCAACCAAUUGUGUAUUUGUAAUAGAUAUUUUGUUAAGAUUGUUUGUGUAAUUCUAUGUUUGUACAUAUUGAUUGAUUUUUACUUAUGGAUGAAUGAAAUGUUAGUUAUUUCCUUGAAAAAUAAUCAAAAUUGCAUAGCCCGCUCACUCUAUUAUAAUUGCUAAAUCUUGUGAAACUGACGUAUUAAAAUAACCCAAUUUCCUUUAGAAAAAUUAUAUUUUUCUACAUCGAGAGUUGAAGAAAGAUAUUUGUAAAAGUCUUAGCUUAGCUUUGCCCACCUCUCUGCAUUUUCUUCAAUAAAAAAAAAAUCACAAAUUAAUAUUUUUAAGCCAAGCGAGAUCUUUCUUGGUAAUUCCCACCAAUCUAAUGAUGUCUAAAUUCUAGUUCAUUUGGGUAAGAAGAAACCAGCUCUCUGCUAAUCAUAUUAACACUUGAAAAUGUUGAGAAUUCCUAGUGGCCUUAAAAUUCUUUGAACAAUUCAAUAUUUGAUUAUUGGUCCAAGAGUCGGCAUGGGAAUACUCUCUCAUGACAAACCCUUGAUUAGUUUUAACAUCGGCGAUGUUGCAAACAAUCAUGUGUUCCUCUCAAAACUGCCAGUCAAGCCCCAGUAAUAAAUUAAUUCGAGAGCUAUCUCCAGCUCCAUCUGUAUGAUACUUUAAAAGCAUUGUUCCAGUCUUCGAAGACAAUGGUGCUGAAAUAAUUUAUGCUUAAAACCCCGUGAUUUUAACUUUCCUUUCGAAUAAAAAGCCUGAGAGAAGUAAGAUUUCUCACCUUAAUUAGCCAUGAUCGGGCUGUUGUUCAACUCCUGUUAUAGCUUCUGGUUUCUUCUAAUCUGCUGCAGCUUCAAGCCUUCAGCACCUGCAGACCCACAAGCCAGCAAGAUCGAGAAAGAGAGAGAGAGAGGAGAUAAAUUUGAGGAUGCAGCUGAAUCUAGCGCCGGUGAGGGCCAAUUUAGAAUGUUACGGUCGUAUUUAGUUAAAGUUGAUAUUAGCGCAUAUUCAACAUAUAAUUAAUAGGUGAUCCAAAAUCGUACCUUUUAAUCCUAAAAGCAGAAGCGAAUCAUAUUCAACCAGUAAUUCAUUUUAUAGAUUUUUACUUAAUAUUUUAGCUUUGCUUAUUUAUUUAUUUUGAAGAGUUCCAUAGUUUGGUUUUGAUACAGCUGCUUGUUAUAUAAUCCAGCUUUACUUAGAAUGUCUCGGUUAGAAAUUUAUUUUUCCUAGCGAAAUAG